RNAcentral lists this small RNA (541 nucleotides) under Pongo abelii (Sumatran orangutan). RNAcentral describes it as "processed transcript". Lineage: Eukaryota; Metazoa; Chordata; Mammalia; Primates; Hominidae. The record is from RNAcentral.
AGUCUCAGUGCCCACUAAGUGAAAAAGCUCAGCAGUUUGGCUAGCCUCUUAGAGUGAUGCUCUGGUGUGCUGGGGCCUAGUGGAGAGGCCUACAGAGGCCAUAGGGAUACUGUGACCUUUGUCUAGAGUUGAUGGGGGUGUGAUUUGUGAAAUAAAACAGGACCGUACUGCUUGGAAGAAGGAAACGGAAGCUGACAUAAUGGGGAUUAAUUAGUUGAUUGCUGUUGAGAUGGUAACAGAUUUGCUCCUAAACCAUUGAGCUAGCGAUUUCAGACCUAGCAGGGAAGGUGAAGAUGAAGAAGCCUUUGUUCAGGUCUCUAGAUGUGUAGGGCUGAGGGCUUUGCCGCCAUGGGAUGUCAACAGCCAUAAUAAUAAUUUGCACUUAUAUAGCACCUUUCAAUCAGGCACCUCAAAGCGGUUUAACCACAUUAAUUAAUUAAAGCCCACAAUCCCCCUGGGGAGAGGAGGAGGAUGACUAACAAGAUUUGUAAUUACAGGAGGGAACAUUUCCGAAUAAAGUAUUGUCUACCAAAUAAAAAGA